Molecule: ribosomal RNA, 496 nt
Filed under: uncultured bacterium
Lineage: Bacteria
Description: partial 16S ribosomal RNA
Rfam family: Bacterial small subunit ribosomal RNA
Source: RNAcentral
GAUGAACGCUGGCGGCGUGCCUAAUACAUGCAAGUCGAGCGAACAGAUAAGGAGCUUGCUCCUUUGACGUUAGCGGCGGACGGGUGAGUAACACGUGGGUAUCCUACCUAUAAGACUGGAAUAACUCCGGGAAACCGGGGCUAAUGCCGGAUAACAUUUAGAACCGCAUGGUUCUAAAGUGAAAGAUGGUUUUGCUAUCACUUAUAGAUGGACCCGCGCCGUAUUAGCUAGUUGGUAAGGUAACGGCUUACCAAGGCAACGAUACGUAGCCGACCUGAGAGGGUGAUCGGCCACACUGGAACUGAGACACGGUCCAGACUCCUACGGGAGGCAGCAGUAGGGAAUCUUCCGCAAUGGGCGAAAGCCUGACGGAGCAACGCCGCGUGAGUGAUGAAGGUCUUCGGAUCGUAAAACUCUGUUAUUAGGGAAGAACAAAUGUGUAAGUAACUGUGCACGUCUUGACGGUACCUAAGCAGAAAGCCACGGCUAACUACGU